UACGAAGGGGGCUAGCGUUGUUCGGAAUUACUGGGCGUAAAGCGCACGUAGGCGGACAUUUAAGUCAGGGGUGAAAUCCCAGAGCUCAACUCUGGAACUGCCUUUGAUACUGGGUGUCUUGAGUAUGGAAGAGGUGAGUGGAAUUCCGAGUGUAGAGGUGAAAUUCGUAGAUAUUCGGAGGAACACCAGUGGCGAAGGCGGCUCACUGGUCCAUUACUGACACUGAGGUACGAAAGCGUGGGUAGCAAACAGG
RNAcentral lists this ribosomal RNA (253 nucleotides) under uncultured bacterium. RNAcentral describes it as "partial 16S ribosomal RNA". It matches the Rfam family "Bacterial small subunit ribosomal RNA", at positions 524 to 776 of the family's 1533-position model. The record is from RNAcentral.